UACGGAGGGUGCAAGCGUUAUCCGGAUUCACUGGGUUUAAAGGGUGCGUAGGCGGGCAGGUAAGUCCGUGGUGAAAUCUCUGAGCUUAACUCAGAAACUGCCAUGGAUACUAUUUGUCUUAGAAUAUGUGGAGUAAGCGGAAUAUGUCAUGUAGCGGUGAAAUGCUUAGAUAUGACAUAGAACACCAAUUGCGAAGGCAGCUUACUACAUAGUUAUUGACACUGAGGCACGAAAGCGUGGGGAUCAAACAGG
Molecule: ribosomal RNA, 252 nt
Filed under: uncultured bacterium
Lineage: Bacteria
Description: partial 16S ribosomal RNA
Rfam family: Bacterial small subunit ribosomal RNA
Source: RNAcentral